UUUAUUAUAAUGUAAUUUGGAGAAGAUCAUUUAGGGUUGAAAUUUUAUGAAAACCUAUGAGCUUCAAGAACUUGUAUUUUCAAACAUCUCCCCACAUUUGAGGCAUUCUCACCCAUUAUUUCUUUAAUCUUUCUGCCCCUUUUUCCCUCUCUUCUCAUUCUGAGACUCUAGUAAGACAGGUUUUUUUUCACUCUUUGUCAUUUUUUUUGUCAUUGUUCUCUCCUGUCUAGAUUAUUUCAAGUGAUCUGUCUUCUACUUUGCGAAUUAUUUCUGAUUGAUCCAGUCUACUAUUGAUAUUCUGUAUUGCAUUUUUCAUUUUAUAUAUCCUAUUCUGUUUAGUUCUUUCUUAUGAUUCCUAUCUCUGGUAAACUCACUCUGUUCAUGUAUUGCUUUUCUUACUUUGUUGAAUUAUCUUUAAUGUGUUAUUUUGUAGUUCACUGAGUUUUCUUAAAACACAUACUUUUAAUUCUUUAUUGUGCAAAUCAUAGAUCUUCAUUUCUUUGUUGGUCAGUUACUGGAAAAAUUACAGUUUUCCUUCGGUGGUAUCAUGUUUCCUUGAUUUUUCGUGUCCUUGAAGUUGAAGUCUUCAUACUUGAAUAUUCAUCUCUUCUAAUCUUUACUGACUGGCUUUCCUUUUAGUUAUGUUAGGGAAUUCUGAGGCUUUCUUCUAUCUUUCUUGUGAACACACCUUCUCUAUACUUCUUGGUCCCUCUGAGGUGGGGGGGAUUCGGGUUUGUAUAUCUUCCUCUUGAUCCUGCAAAACUAGAAUGCUCUAGUUUGUGUCCUUUCUCCUCAUGCUGCAGAGUUGGGCUGGCUCUCUGCGUUUGUCCAGUUGUUAUCUGAAAGGCUUACUUUCACUGCCAGCAGAGUGUGCACAGGGGGACAGCCACAGGACAGAGGGUGUGCAGGGGCUGCACGUGGAGCAUGAAGGGUGCCUCUGGGCCUGCUGGGGGGAAUCCACAGGUGCAGUGUCUUCAGCAACUCACUGGCGGGCUUACUGAUGGAUUCCACGAAGUGGUUAUUAGGAUCUGCGUCCUUUUGAUGUGUUCCGUUCCGAGGCCUGGUUGCUGUUCUCCCAUCGGUCCACUGCCCCCAACUUGUGCAGUAUAUGACUCAGUAUUCUGGAUGGUAUAAGAUUUGUGUCUCUUCUCAGUGUCCUACAUAGCUGGGGAAGCUGGGUGCUCACUAACACACUCUCACUUUCCCCUCUGGGAGAAAUCACAGAGAAGUUCUCUCAGGACACUGAGCUGUGCCCCCUGGGCGGAGUGAGCUACGAAAUUGAAACCAUUUGUCUUACCCUCUUCAGUGCAUCCAGUAUUUCAUUUUUAGUGUUUUUCCAGUAGUGCUGGCAUUUCUCAGUUGGACUCAGCUUCCACAAAGGCACUCUUGUUCAUAGGCAAUUGUCAAAAUCCAUGUUUUUUUGGAGAGAGAAUGGUAGAAUGCUCUUAUCCUGCCAUGAUGAUGAUAUCACACAUAAUCAAAAAUUCUUAAAAAGUCAGUACUGUCAAUUUUAUUAUACAAAAAACAAGUUUCUUGGAAAAUAUCAACUGAAAUUAUGUCAGGAAGAAAUAUAAAUUCAUAGUAUACCAGUAACCAUUACAUAAGGUGAAGUAUUUGCAAAUCAUCCUUGAAAAAUGAAAAAGUCCAGUAGCUUCUAAGUCAUUUUUUGGCAAGGAUACGUGAAGGAAUUAUGCCAGUUUGUCAACUUAUUCAGAAGAGAGUAAAAGGGAAAACUACCCACCUUCUUUAAUGAGGUUCUUGUUUGUAUUCUUCGUAUGGAAGUGUUUCUUUGGAGCAUGAUUACAGGUCAGAAAAUUUCCACUUACCUCUUGGAAACUAAGCACAUGACAGAGAACUAAAAACCUAUGUCAAGUUAAAUUCCAAGUGACUGGAAGACAGAAAAAUCUGAUACAUUCCAAUCUGUCUGCAAAUUUUUUCAACAGCUAGUGAGAGACCACAACCACUAUAAGAUGCUCUUUUUCAUAAGGAUCUUUUGUUAUUGAGAAGAGCAGAAAGUGCUAAGGGGCAUAGUGUUAGUGGCAGAUGUCAAAAAUUGGCAAGACAUAUUUCCCCCCAGAAAAUGAGGACCCUGUCCUGGGAAGGAAUAGUUGUGAUUGGGAGCUUACUUCGACACAGAAGGCUUACAUGGGGCAGGGGGUAAAAGACAGCUGAGUCAGUGAGUGCUGAGGAACAAAAGGUGGCAGAAUUCAAAGUACAGGCAAAGAUCCACCCAGUAAAAUGAGUGGCUUACCUUGAGAUACUGAUUGUAUUUCUUGGUGGCAGUGACUCCUGAAGAAAUCAAGGGGAGUAAAGAUUUAAUGGAAGAAGUCCACCUGAGAGAUAAAGGAGGUAUGGCUACACAGUGGUGUCAUAUUGUAAAGAAAUGGCCAGUUUUCAUAACAAUAAAAAAUUGAACCACUGAGCUAUGUAGUCUCUUGCUUAUAGCCACUUAACUAGUUCAGGAAAAAUGGGUGCUGUUCAAAUACGAGCAAAAUCAGAGCAAUAUCAACAAAGAAUUUAACACAUUGUCUGUACAUAUCUAGUGCAAGGAAAUAAUUUGCAAAUGAGAGCAACUGUUCCUACAGAAAAGUUUUUCCUAGGGAAAACCUACCGGAAAAAUUUUCCCGGAAGGUUUGGCGAAAUUAUAAAAAUCACUCUAGUAGGGAUAAUGAAAUACUUGCAGGAAAGACCAUAAGGCUAAGUAUGAGAAUUUAGAGAUGGCCAGCAAAUAGGAAAGGUGGCAUGGCAUAUGUCAAAUCUUGCUUAGGAACAUGGAAGCAAGAUUUUUUUUCUCUUUAAUUUUUUUCCAAAUUCAGCUGUAUAUAAAAUAGCAAAAGUCAGGUUGUAGGAAUGGGUGGUUAAGCCAUAGGGGAAGUAGAAAUUAAUUGAAAACCAUCACAGCAAUGGUGUAAAGUAGAAAGAGUGUCACUAAUGCCAUAGACAUUACUUGAUAUUCAUCAUUUAUGGUUUUAGAAAGUUAAACUGUAGGGGCGCCUGGGUGGCUCAGUCGGUUAAAUGUCCGGCUUCAGCUCAGGUCAUGAUCUCACAGUCUGUGAGUUCGAGCCCCGCUUCGGGCUCUGUGCUGACAGCUCAGAGCCUGGAGCCGGCUUUGGACUCUAUGUCUCCCUCUCUCUCUGCCCCUCCCCUGCUCAUGCUUUGUCUCUCUCUGUCUCAAAAAUACAUAAAAGCAUUAAAAAAAAAAAAGUUAAACUAUAAAUACAAGUGAACUUUCUUAACUAGGUAAAGGAUGUCUUAAAAUCUCUAGCAAAUAUCUUAUGUAGUGAUACUUUAAAAUAAAGCCUAUAAUUACCUACUAUUCAUCAUUUUAUUAGUGGUCUUAGUCAAAGCUUAAGAACAGAAAAAAGAAAUACAGGGAGUAAAUAAAUCUUGUCAUAUUUACUUAUGACUUUCCACAUGGAAAAUUCACCAUUUAUGGAGAACCAAUAAUACAAUUAUUACUAGAGUUGGAAGAGUUAAUGUCCAAUAAUCAUUAGGAAUUUUAUACAGGAAGCAAUUUGAUAUAUAAUUGAAAAUAAAAUCUUUAACAACAGGAAGAAAAAAUGUGUGGUACUUAAAUCUAACAAAAGAUGUAUAAAAUUUGUAAAUAGAGUAUCAAAAUUGAAACUAUAUACAUGUAUAUAUUUAUAGCUAAUUAUUGCUUUCUGCCUUUUGUCUUCGUGUAGUAUUCCCUCAUCCUUCUAUUUUUAUUUUCAACAAAUUAGUGGUCUUUAUGACUGAGUGGGAUGAAUAGGACAGAUUAAGAAGACCAGGCACAUCACCUUAUAGCAAACGUCUUCUGCAAUAAUAUCUAGAGUCUAGAUAUUCAAACAGAACCCCUGUAACCUUCUAGAACAUACUUAAAAAUACCUCUAUAAUAAACGGAGAGAAUACAAAUGUGGGUUUUUUAAAGUUUAAUAUUUGGUCACUUUUGAUAACUGAGUCAUAAUGGAUGAAUUACACUCUAAUAUAAUUGGAUACUAGAGAUGAUCUCAAUCACCUUAUUAAGUUUAAAAGUGUUGUGGGUUUUUUGCUCAGGCUAGUUUUCAAGUUGCUUCAUUCAGUAAAGCUACCCAGGCGCCCCCCAAUCUUACCCAAUUCUUAAGAUACCCUUGCAAAGUUAAGAGUCUACCCAAAAUGGCUAAUCAUGUAUUCAGAUUCUCAAACAUUUGUCUAUGCAAAAUAACCACUAUCCUGCUUUCCUUUGGGAAAGAGAACAUGUAUUUUGGUAAUCUUUGGCAAAAUAUUGUCAUCUGAUGUAUAGAAACUCUGAUGAAAGCCCUGGAUUGCACAGGAAAGGAAAGCUCCUAAAAUAAAAAUGAUGAAUUAGAUUAGAGCAGACCCCUCGUGUAAUACCAAAGGUGCAGAAUGUGAAUAGAGAGAAAAAAGUUUGUUAAAGAAGCUCUCUGUCCAUAUAGCCACUUCUUAGUAUAGAACAAGUCUGUGUAUAGUGAGCACUUGUGUAUUGAACCUCUGCAGAAGUACCUCCCAAGGGAUUACUUAGUGUAACAUAUCUUUAGUUUGAUGGACAAUGUUCUAUGUUCUAUGGCUUCUGCUGUUUUUGUUGUUGUUGUUGUCUUUUUCAUUAUUAUAUUUACCUUAUUGUAUAUGACUCACAGGUAGGCUAAGAAUGAAGUUUUUGCAGGGGAAAAGAAGCUGUUCAUGGUGUUUUAGAGGGUAUGAGACAAAAUUUGCAAUUUCCUUAUAUAGAGAGAGAUAUGCAAAUAUUUAAAAAGUAAAUAUUAGAGCUUCCUGAUUCCGAAUUGAAAAAAGUAGGGAAAGGAGUAUUCAUAAGUUCUUCCUGAUCUUGAAAGAAAGUGCUGUGAACUCCUGUUUGUACGUGAUGAUGAUUGUUUAUAGAGCAGAGUAAGUUCUGGUUCUGGUUUUACUCCGUUUUCCCUUCCUCCACCCUGCAAAGGAAAAGCAAUGAUAGACAAUAAGCAUAUACAUUACCUGUUUUAUGAUGAGUUUAAAGUGGAAUGGUUGAGUAAAAUAUUGAACUACACUGGUACAUAACUUUAAGGAGUAUAAUAUAGGUCUAUAGUUUAUGGUUUUCAGAAAUAAAUGUUGACUUGGAAUAUCAAAAUGAGUUAAAAUGUUAUGCUUUAUAGCUCAUAGUGCAGAUCUUCUUGGCAACCUAAAGCUCUUUAUAGAUGGCUGUCAUUCCAAAGCAGAAAUAGAAGUGUGAUGAGUAGUUCUAUUGAUUGCAUAUACAAAGAAAAAUAUCCUAAGAAUUUGCAAUUAAAAACAUGAAAGAUAAACAUCAUUUAAAAAAAAUAUAAUAACCAGACUUUAUUAUCACAGUAAAUCUUGGUAGGAGAGAAGCUGUUUUGUGCCUUUUAACACUGAUGCUCUGUAUUAUAAGAUGAUUCACAUACCUUAAUGUGUCUUCUGUCUCAAAGAAAUUAUAUCAGUUUAAUUAUGUAAGUUUUGUGAAAAACUUAAGCUUGAAAUUAAUAUAAAUUAUUAUACAGUUUUCACAUUCUUGAAGAGUUGUUUGGUGUCUGCACAUUGUGUUGUAUCAGUAGAAACGUAUUUCUUAAGUGCAUUCAAAACUGCAAAGCAGCUCUGACCUCAGAAUGAGCACCUUUACAAAUUUAUUUCAAUAAAAUUAUAUAACUUCUAAUAUUAUGCAGAUACUGUCUCUGCGGUUUAUUACUUUGUUCUCCUUACAAGUGAGAAGCAAAUAAGUGCUGCUAAUAUUUUUUUUUCCAGUGAAGCAUCUGUUGUUUGAAGACGAUUCUAAACAUAAAUAGUUUGAGUCAUUUGAAGAUGUGUAUGUCUGUUUGCAAAUAGAUAGUUUCUAUAUAUAGUCCCAUGUAUACUUUUGUAUAGGAGAUUUGGUAACAAUAUAAUGAAAAGAAUUAAUAUAUUUUUAGUGUAUAUUUUUCCUAAUUUUCUAUAAUGAAGACCGACAAUGCCUUCCAUAACUCAAAAGAGUAUCUUAAAACUACUCAGACAUGGAUGGACCUCCUUUUUCUUUCUUUCUUUUUCUUAUUUUCUUCCCCCUCUUCCUCUUCCUCCUCCUUUUUUUUUUUUUUUUUUUUUGAUGUUGUGUGGUUGCCUGAGUCUUUUGCUUAUUAUAAAGUCAUAAUUAAAUAAGCUUCACUAUGAAGGUCCAAUACUUGGAAUGACUGCCUAGUUUCUGUAUUCCAUUCCAUGCUAAUGGUAUGCCACUCAGUAGUGGUUAUAAGUAAUAUUUAUUGAGACAGUGAUCCUCAAUGUAGGAUUCCUUUCCAUGAAAUAAAAUAUAUUUAGUCUUAAGCAAAAUUACACAGAUGCUCUUUUCACAGAAAUUUAUGGCAUUUCUAGGCCAUGGCUAGGACUACUGCAUUUUCUUUUCUUUUCUUUCUUUUUUUUGGGGAAACUUAACUAAUUUACAUUUCAUUCAGUUUUAGAAUAAAUAUUUAUGUUUCAGUAUAUUCACCUCUUCUCUGUUAAUUCAUGUUUAGCCGUUUAUUGACCAUUCAACAAGAGCUUGAAAGCCUACUAUGUAUUAAGAACUGUGAAGAACCAUGUGGAUAUAAAAUGAUAGGACAAGGGGCACCUGGGUGGCACAGUCAUUUGAGCAUCCAACUUCUGCUCAGGUUGUGAUCUCAUAGCUUGUGAGUUUGAGCCCCACAUCGGGCUCUUUGCUGUCAAUGCGGAGCCCAGUUCAGAUCUGGUGUCCCCCUCUCUCUCUGCCACUUCCCUGCUCAUAGUCGUCCCCCACCCCUGCAAAAAAUAAAUAAAUAAAUAAAUAAAUAAAUAAAAGGACAAGAUAAAAAAGAUUAGGAUAUAGUUCUUGCCCCUAGAGACCUUACUUGUCUAAUGAUGGAGGAGAAUCAACAGGAUAUAAAUGCUCUGACUAAAAUGUGUCCAAAAUCUUGGUUUUCUAAGAUGGUACUAUUUUUUUCUUUUUUUGGCUCUCCAGGAAAAUGUGGCAUCCAAAAUGCUUUCCAAAGGGACUACCAAGUUUUCUUUGAUUAUUGAACUGCAGCAAAUAUCUGAGUAGCUUUUUUACUGUUUCAGAACGUUAGCCUUUUUUUAAAUUUUUAUUUGAGAGAGAGAGAGAGAGAGAGCGCGCGCACACAGAUGCUAGUGGGGGAAGGGCAAAGAUAGAGGGAGAGAGAGAAUCCCAAGCAGGUCCACACUGUCAAUGUGGAGCCCGACACAGGGGUCGAACCCAUGAACUGUGAGAUCAUGACCUGAGCUGAAAUCAAGAGUGGUUACUUAACUGACUGAGCCACCCAGGUGCCCCUCAGAGUGUUACUUUUUAGUCUCACUUUUGGCUUGAAGUCAGCCAAUGCUCAAAAAAAAAAAAAAAAAAAAAAAAGGCUUCCGAUAUUAUAUGAAAGUUUGGACACCUGAAUGUACUGUUGAUUAUACUUUAUUUUACUAUAUUAUACUUGCAUUCAGUUUUUUCCUUCCAUUUCAGUGUCUGAUCACUCCAGUUUGUUACUGUGUUUCAUGGCUAUUUUGAUGUUAAAGAAGUACAGAAGACGAAAACUUUUGAUACUAACAGAUAGUCUGGCUUGUUAGAUGAAGCGCCAACCAAAACAUGGGUCUAUAGGCUAUUCAUCUAUUGCUGAAUAUGAAAUUAGAUGGCUUUCAAUUUAGUAAGUUGGUCAAAUCUGCCUUCUCAGGUAACUGUUUAUAUUUCCAUGGGGUAUUAAAUAUUCUUACGUAUUACAAAAGGAUCCUCUCUGACAGUUGUGAGUAUUGUGGGUGAGUGUGUGUAUUAUAAGCCAAAGGAAAACAAACCAUAGUGUGGGAGAUGCAGGAGAGAAGCAUCAAAGGAAAAGACUUCAAAAGGGAAGGGCUGGAGAAGGUGGAAGGCCUUAGGACAUGUUUACACAGCUGAACGAGGCUGAUGCUCGUAAGGAACACCUAGAGCCAUUAACAUUUGUCCAGGGCUGGAUCCUCCUUCGCACCUGACCCUUCCUACUGUUAUAGAAACCAUUGACUCAAAAUUCAACCUUGAAAAGCUAAACCAUUAGACUCAUUAACACACUUGCUUAGCUGACUUUAUGCACGUAGUCUUUAGCAAUUAUCCUAAUAAAAAGAAGCUUCAUUCUGGAGUCGGGGCCUCAUUCUGACUUGAGCAUGAGGAUCUUCACUUAACUUUGUUUGUGGACUCAUCUUUUGCGAGUCUGGCCAUACUUCCAGCAACACCACAGGAUAUUUAUAUGCCAAGUAAAUCAAAAUUUGACUUUUGCUUUUGGGUGACAAAAGUAGCUUAAUGCAGGCCAGUGCUUCUAUUUAAAAUAAUUUAUAAAGCUAACUAAAAUAAACGAAUCAUCUCUUUGAUUCAUGGAGAGCUACUUAGGUAAUGAGAACUAAAGGGUCUCAGACUUUGAUAGGGAAGGAACCUUGGACCAGUCAUCCUGCCAGGGCAGCCCUGGCACCAAGCACCCUAUGGACUUCACCUGGCACAUGCCCAUUCCAGCUCAGGCUGUCCCUCCAGGGGAUCUUCAGUGCAGAGGGCAGCCCAAGAGUCCCCGUCUGCACCUGUUCCUGCUGGCCAGUCAAAGCCAUCAGGCACGUGCAGUCUACAAAGUUCCUACAGGAGACCCUCCUUCAAAAUUCAGAGAGAUAGCUGGGCAUAAUUCAUAAAAGUAGAUACAAAGUCAAGUAAAGUGAGAGGAGUAUGUUUCAAACAAAAGAACAAGGUAAAACCUCAGAAAAAGAACUAAAACAAAAUGGAGAUGUACAAUCCAUCUGGUAAAGAGUUUAAAGUAAUACUCGUAAAGAUGCGCAUCAAAGAAGAGAGAGUGAACUUAGAACUUCAACAAAGAGAAAUAUAAAAAAGAACCGGUCAGAACUGAAGAAAACAGCUGAAAUGAAAAAUACACUAGAGGGAAUAAAAAGCAGAUUAGAGGUCAGAAGGGGGGAGUGGCAGGAUAUAUUUAAAGUGCUGAAAGGGAAAAACUUACUCUACCCAGCAUGGUUGUCAUUCAGAAUUGAAAGAGAUAAAGCACUUCCUAGGCUCAUGGUCUCAGGGUUUUUGAGUUCGAGCCCCGCAUCGGGCUCUGUGCUGACAGCUCAGAGCCUGGAGCCUGAUUCGGAUUCUGUGUCUCCCUCUCUCUGCCCCUCCCCUUCUCAUGCUCUGUCUCUCUCUCUCAAAAAUAAAUAUUAAAAAAAAAAAUUAAAAAAGAGCUUCCUAGAUAAGCAAAGGGUAAAGGAGCUCAUCACCACUAAACAAGCCAUGUGAAAAAUGUUGAAGGGUUUCUUUAAGUGGAAAAGAAAAGACCAUAACCAGAAAUAAGAGCAUAUUAUGAAAGAAAAAUGUCACUUCUACAGGCAAAUAUACAGUCAAGACAAUAAAUGAACCACUUAAAAAGUUAGUUGAAGGUUAAAAGACAAAAAUAGUAAGAUCUAUUACAACUACAACAACUAGUUAAGGGACACACAAAAUAAAAAUGUCAAGAUGACAAAAACAAAACAUGGAGAAGAGGGGAGUAAAGAAAUUAUCAGCUUAAAAUAGACUGGUGUGUAUAUAUGUAUAUAUAAUCUCAAUGUAUAUGAAACUCAUGUAACCAGAAACCUACAACAGAUACACUAAAAUAAAAAGAACCAACGCAUAACACUGAAGGAAACCAUCAGUUGAUAAAGGAAGUGACCAAGAGAAGAAACAGAGAACUACAGAAACAACCACAACACUAUUAACAAAAUGGCAGUAAGAACACACCUAUCAAUAAUUACUUUAAAUAUAAAUAGACUACUCUAAUCAAAAGACAUAGGAUAACAGAAUGGAUAAAAACAAACAAACAAACAAAAAACCAAGACCCAUUUAUAUGCUGCCUACAGGAGACUCACUUCAGAUCUAAAGACACAGAAUGAAAAUGAAGGAUUAGAAAAAGAUAUGCCAUAGAAAUAAAGAGAAAGCUAGUGUAACAAUACUCAUAUCAGACAAAAUAUACUUUAAAACAAAGACUGUAAAAAAGACUGUAAAAAAAGACAAAGAAGGGCAUUACAUAAUGAUAAAAGGGUCACUUCAAGAAGAGGAUAUAACAACUGUAAAUAUAUAUUCAACAUAGAGUCACUGAAAUGUAUAAUGCAAAUAUUAUCAGACAUAAUAGAAAUUGACAGUAAUAUGAUACUAAGGGACUUUAAUGCCCUACCUAUAUCAAUGGGUAGGUCAUCUCGAUAGAAAAUCAAUAAGGAAACUUUGGCCUUGAUUGACAGACCAGAAGGGCUUAAUAGACAUGUACAGAAUAUUUCAUCUAAAAACUACAGAAUACAUUUUCUUUUCAAGUACACACAGAACAGUCUGCAGAUCACAUUAGGCCACAAAAGAAGUAUAAAAUUCAAAAAUGAAAUCAUCAGGUAUUAUUUUUGACCACAAUGGGAUAUCUAGAAGUUAGUUACAAGAAGAAAACUGAAAAAAACACAACACUUGGACACUAAAUGAUGAAGAAAUCAAAGAGGAAAUAAAAUCACACCAUGAGACAAAUGGAAACAAAGCUUUCCAAAACCUACUGGAAGCACCAAAAGCCACUGUAAGAGGGAAAUUCAUGCCACCACAGGCCUAUUUAAGAAAUAAGAAAAAUCUGAAACAUUCUUAACUUUAAACCUAAAAGAACUGAGAAAGACGAGCAAACAAAGCACAAUGUUAGUGGAAGGAAGGAAAUGAUGAUCAGAGUGGAUUAAAUGAAAUAAAGAUUUAAAAACUACAAAAAAGGUCAAUGACACUAAAAAGUAAAUAAAACUAGGGGCAACUGGGUAGUUCAGUUGGUUGAACAUCAACUCUUGGUUUCAGCUCAGGUCAUGAUCUCACGGUUUCAUGAGUUUGAACCCCGUGUUUGACUCCACGGACAGUGUGGAACCUGCUUGGGAUUCUCUCCAUCUCUCUCUCCUGCCCCUCCCCAGCUUGCUCUCUCUCAAAACAAAUAAAACAUAAAAAUAAAAUAAAAAAAAAAAAACAAACUAAAAGUGUCUUUGAGAAGAUCAACAAAAUUGAUAAACAUUUAUUUAGACUCAAAGAAAAAGAGAUUGACCAAAUAAAUCAGAAAUAAAAGAGAAGUUGUAACUGACACCACAGAAGUACAAAUGAUCAUAAGAGAUUACUACACACAAUCAUAUGCUAAUAAACUGAACAAUUUAUAAGAAAUGGAUAAAUUCCUAGAAAUUCCAUCACUCUUUGAAGACUGAAUCGUGAAGAAAUAGAAAAUCUGAAUAAAAAAAAAUUAAAAAAAAAAUCUGAAUAGACGGAUUACAAGUAAUGAAAUUGAAGUAGUAAUUUUAAAACUCUCAAAAAACAAAACUCGAGGACCAGAUGGCUUCACAGGUGAAUUCUACCCAAAUAUUUAAAGAAGAGUUAGGACCUGUGCUUCUCAAAUUAUUCCAAAAAAUUGAAGAGCAAGGAAAGCCUCCAAAUUCAUUCUGUGAGGGCAGCAUUACCAUGAUACUGAAACCAGACAAAGACAUUACAAAGAAAAGGAAACUAUAGGUCGUCUCUCAUGAAUAUAGAUGCAAAAAUCCUCUAUGAAAAUUAGCAAACCAAGUUCAACAAUACAUUUAAAAGUGUUGUACAUCACAGUUGGAAGUGUGAAUUAUGCAGGGAAGCAAGGAUGCUCAACAUAUGCAAAACAGUUAAUGUGAUAUUUAUAACACAUUCACAAGAGAAGGGGUGAAGCCCAUGUGGUCAUCUCAGUAGAUGCAGAAAAAGCACUUUAAAGGGCAACAUUCUUUCAUGAUAAAAACUCAGCAAAGUUGGUUUCAAGGGAACAUAUUUCAACAUAAUAAAGUCUAUAUAUGACAAACCCACAGCUAACAUCAUAGUAGUAAAAACAUGAAAGAUUUUUCCUCAAAGAUGACAAAGAAGACAGAGAUGCCACUCUUGCCACUUUCAUUCAAUGAAGUAUUGGAAAUGCUAGCCACAGCAAUUAGCCAAGAUAAAUAAAAGUAAAGAAAUAAAACUAUCAUUUGAGUUGAUACAAUACUGUAUGCAGAAAAUCUUAAAGCAUCCACCAAAAAACUAUUAGAACUAAUGAAUGAAUUCAGUAAAGUCCUAGGAUAAAGUUAGUGUACAGAAAUUGUCAUAUUUCCAUACACUAAUAAUGAGCUACAGAAAUAGAAAUUAAGGAAAAAAAUCCCAUUUAUAAUUGCAUUAGAGAGAAUAAAAUACCUAGGAUAAAAAUUAACCAACAUGGUAAUUCUGAGGACUAUUUAAGACGUUGAUGAAGGAAUUGUGGAAGACACAAAUAAAUGUAAAGAUAUUCUGUGCUUAUUGAAUAGAAGAAUUAAUUUUUCUAAGAUGCCCAUACUUACCCAAAGCAGUCUACACAGUGCAAUUCCUAUGAAAAUACCAAUGGCAUUUUUCACAGAACUAGAACAAAGCAUCCUAAAAUUUCUAUUGAAUCACAAAAAACCAUGAAUAACCAAGAUAUUGGCAUAAAAACAGGUGCAUAAACCAGUGGAAUAGAACACAGAGCCCAGUAAAUAAUCCACACAUAAAUGGUCAAUUAAUCUAUGUAUGAAGGAGGCAAGAAUGUACAGUGGGGAAAAGACAGUCUCUUCAGCAAGUGGUCUGGGAAAACUGGGCAGCUACACAAAAGAAUGAAACUGGAAGACGUUCUUACACCAUACACAAAAAUAAACUCAAAAUGGAUUGAAAACUUCAAUGUAAGAUCUGAAACCAUAAAACUCCUAGAAGAAAUCAUAGGCAGUAAGGUGUUGGACAUCAGUCUGAGCAAAUUUUUUGGAUCUGUCUUUUCAAGCAAGGGAAGCAAAAUAAACAAUUAAAAUUAAAUUAAAAUAAACAAAUGGGAUUUCAGCCUUUUUUCUGCACAGCAGAGGAAACUAGUAGCAAAAUAAGAAGGCAACCUACUGAAUGGGAGAAGUUAUUUGCUAAUCAUUUACCUGAUAAGGGCUUAAUAUCCUAAAUAUAUGAUGAUCUUACACAAGUUAAUAUCAAGAAAACAAUCCAAUUAAAAAAUGGGUGGAGGAC
Long non-coding RNA from Panthera uncia (snow leopard), 12928 nucleotides. RefSeq lists it as uncharacterized. The record is from RefSeq and is a predicted model, not a curated record. The transcript is spliced from 2 exons. Lineage: Eukaryota; Metazoa; Chordata; Mammalia; Carnivora; Felidae.